Molecule: unclassified non-coding RNA, 230 nt
Filed under: uncultured fungus
Lineage: Eukaryota; Fungi
Description: partial contains 5.8S ribosomal RNA, internal transcribed spacer 2, and large subunit ribosomal RNA
Source: RNAcentral
AACGCACAUUGCGCCUAUUAGCAUUCUAGUAGGCAUGCCUGUUCGAGCGUCAUUUCAACCCUGUCAAGCGCGGCUUGGUGAUGGGGGCUGCGGCGCAGCCUCCCAAAGCGAGCGGCGGAUGCGGCCGUGUCCGAGUGCAGUAGGACUCUCGCUCGGGAGACGGACCGGGUCUCGCUUUCCACUCUCCAAAGGUUGACCUCGGAUCAGGUAGGAAUACCCGCUGAACUUAA